CCAGUGCCUUUCACUGAACUACUUGACGCGGUGCAGCUGAUCUCCCAUGACCGACCCCACAAAGCCAGUCAUUCCUCCAUUUUCCCCGAGGGACAUAGUGAGGACUCCCAUAUUAAGGAGAUCUCAACAGUGAAGAUAACUAGCAGAGAAACUUACUGUUGCCAUGUUGUAUUGGUGACCUCCAGACUCACCAGCUCAUAGGAAGACUGGUGUAUGGGUAAGAGCCCAUUCUUGGUUUAAAUUCCAGCACUUGAUCGUGACCUACAUUAUAAAGGUAAUACAAUACAUGUUCCCUCAGCUGACUGCUAAGCCCAUCUCUUCUCUUUUCAUAUGGUACACUUUUCUAGACAGAGAAGCAGAGCACCCUAGAAGGCACACCCAUGGA
RNAcentral lists this long non-coding RNA (385 nucleotides) under Ovis aries (sheep). RNAcentral's name for it is "lncRNA (ENSOARG00000026863.1)". Lineage: Eukaryota; Metazoa; Chordata; Mammalia; Artiodactyla; Bovidae. The record is from RNAcentral.